AAAUUGAAGAGUUUGAUCAUGGCUCAGAUUGAACGCUGGCGGCAGGCCUAACACAUGCAAGUCGAACGGUAACAGGAAGCAGCUUGCUGCUUCGCUGACGAGUGGCGGACGGGUGAGUAAUGUCUGGGAAACUGCCUGAUGGAGGGGGAUAACUACUGGAAACGGUGGCUAAUACCGCAUAACGUCGCAAGACCAAAGAGGGGGACCUUCGGGCCUCUUGCCAUCAGAUGUGCCCAGAUGGGAUUAGCUUGUUGGUGAGGUAACGGCUCACCAAGGCGACGAUCCCUAGCUGGUCUGAGAGGAUGACCAGCCACACUGGAACUGAGACACGGUCCAGACUCCUACGGGAGGCAGCAGUGGGGAAUAUUGCACAAUGGGCGCAAGCCUGAUGCAGCCAUGCCGCGUGUAUGAAGAAGGCCUUCGGGUUGUAAAGUACUUUCAGCGGGGAGGAAGGUGUUGUGGUUAAUAACCGCAGCAAUUGACGUUACCCGCAGAAGAAGCACCGGCUAACUCCGUGCCAGCAGCCGCGGUAAUACGGAGGGUGCAAGCGUUAAUCGGAAUUUACUGGGCGUAAAGCGCACGCAGGCGGUCUGUCAAGUCGGAUGUGAAAUCCCCGGGCUCAACCUGGGAACUGCAUUCGAAACUGGCAGGCUUGAGUCUUGUAGAGGGGGGUAGAAUUCCAGGUGUAGCGGUGAAAUGCGUAGAGAUCUGGAGGAAUACCGGUGGCGAAGGCGGCCCCCUGGACAAAGACUGACGCUCAGGUGCGAAAGCGUGGGGAGCAAACAGGAUUAGAUACCCUGGUAGUCCACGCCGUAAACGAUGUCUACUUGGAGGUUGUGCCCUUGAGGCGUGGCUUCCGGAGCUAACGCGUUAAGUAGACCGCCUGGGGAGUACGGCCGCAAGGUUAAAACUCAAAUGAAUUGACGGGGGCCCGCACAAGCGGUGGAGCAUGUGGUUUAAUUCGAUGCAACGCGAAGAACCUUACCUGGUCUUGACAUCCACAGAAGAAUCCAGAGAUGGAUUUGUGCCUUCGGGAACUGUGAGACAGGUGCUGCAUGGCUGUCGUCAGCUCGUGUUGUGAAAUGUUGGGUUAAGUCCCGCAACGAGCGCAACCCUUAUCCUUUGUUGCCAGCGAUUAGGUCGGGAACUCAAAGGAGACUGCCAGUGAUAAACUGGAGGAAGGUGGGGAUGACGUCAAGUCAUCAUGGCCCUUACGACCAGGGCUACACACGUGCUACAAUGGCGCAUACAAAGAGAAGCGACCUCGCGAGAGCAAGCGGACCUCAUAAAGUGCGUCGUAGUCCGGAUUGGAGUCUGCAACUCGACUCCAUGAAGUCGGAAUCGCUAGUAAUCGUGGAUCAGAAUGCCACGGUGAAUACGUUCCCCGGGCCUUGUACACACCGCCCGUCACACCAUGGGAGUGGGUUGCAAAAGAAGUAGGUAGCUUAACCUUCGGGAGGGCGCUUACCACUUUGUGAUUCAUGACUGGGGUGAAGUCGUAACAAGGUAACCGUAGGGGAACCUGCGGUUGGAUCACCUCCUUA
RNAcentral lists this ribosomal RNA (1544 nucleotides) under Salmonella enterica subsp. enterica serovar Typhimurium str. 798. RNAcentral's name for it is "16S ribosomal RNA". It matches the Rfam family "Bacterial small subunit ribosomal RNA". The record is from RNAcentral. Lineage: Bacteria; Pseudomonadati; Pseudomonadota; Gammaproteobacteria; Enterobacterales; Enterobacteriaceae.